This 693-nucleotide long non-coding RNA is filed under the name Zea mays. RNAcentral's name for it is "long non-coding RNA (ZMAY_LNC005744)". Lineage: Eukaryota; Viridiplantae; Streptophyta; Magnoliopsida; Poales; Poaceae. The record is from RNAcentral.
AAUCCUAUUUCUAGUGAAUUCUCCCCUACCAUUGAAGUCCCUGGGUCUCGACCUGUUUGUAGUCCCUCUUUACGAGUACCAGCAGAUGGUGGUGGCACUGAGCCUGUAUCUGGUUCUAGUUCCUUUUCCUUACCAGUACCAGUAGAUGGUAGUAGAGGGGCUGAGUCUGGUUCUAGUUCCUUACCAGCAGAUGGGGAUAUUGGUGUUGAUGUGCCAGUAAAGGGUGCUAAACCAUCUGUUUCUAGGGCAGAAUGCUGGAAGCAUAUGAAUAAGCGGGAGAUUAUCGACGAUGGUAUAAAAAGUUAUAUUGCUAUAUGUCACUAUUGUAAAACUGAGUUGAGUACAGAUUCUGCUCGUGGCACUGGGCAUUUGAAUCGACACUUCAAAGCUUGUUUAAAAAAGGCAGGGAAAACUUUUGGUGCAAGUAUGCAAACUCAACUAAACUCUGUUGCGGACGGCACUGUAAGUACUUGGGUUUACAAUCCACAAUUAGCUCGUGAAGAAAUUAUUAAAUACAUUGUUUCUGAAGACUUACCUAUUAUGAUGGGAGAAAGCCCUAAUUUUAAGAAUCUGAUUCAGCGUGCUUUCUUCCCACAAUACCAACCUGUUAGUAGAACUACUAUAAAAUCUGAUUUGAUGUCUCAGUAUCACAAACAACUUGCUGUUCUUAAAGAAAAUUUUAAAAAAGUUCAG